UACGUAGGGUGCAAGCGUUGUCCGGAAUUAUUGGGCGUAAAGAGCGCGUAGGCGGUCUGUCGCGUCUGCUGUGAAAACUCGGGGCUUAACCCCGGGCCUGCAGUGGGUACGGGCAGACUAGAGUGCGGUAGGGGAGACUGGAAUUCCUGGUGUAGCGGUGAAAUGCGCAGAUAUCAGGAGGAACACCGGUGGCGAAGGCGGCGUCCUGGACCGGCAUUGACGCUGAUGCGCGAAAGCCAGGGGAGCAAACGGG
This 253-nucleotide ribosomal RNA is filed under the name uncultured bacterium. Its description in RNAcentral is "partial 16S ribosomal RNA". It matches the Rfam family "Bacterial small subunit ribosomal RNA", at positions 524 to 776 of the family's 1533-position model. The record is from RNAcentral.